GAUGAACGCUAGCGGGAGGCCUAACACAUGCAAGCCGCGGGGCAUGAUUCUUUCGGGGAUCGAAGACCGGUGCACGGGUGCGUAACGCGUAUUUAACCUACCCCAAUCACCGGGAUACCACUUCGUAAGGAGGCUUAAUACCGGAUAACACUAAUGUGGGCAUCUUCUCUGCUUGAAAGAUGUAUCGGAAUGGGAUAGACAUGCGUCAGAUUAGCUAGUUGGAGAGGUAACGGCUCACCACGGCGAUGAUCUGUAGGGGGCCUGAGAGGGUGACCCCCCACACUGGCACUGAGACACGGACCAGACGCCUACGGGAGGCAGCAGUGAGGAAUAUUGGACAAUGGGUGAGAGCCUGAUCCAGCCAUCCCGCGUGCAGGAAGACGGCCCUAUGGGUUGUAAACUGCUUUUGUAUGGGAAUAAACCACCUUACGCGUAGGGUGUUGAAGGUACCAUACGAAUAAGCACCGGCUAACUCCGUG
RNAcentral lists this ribosomal RNA (479 nucleotides) under uncultured bacterium. RNAcentral's name for it is "partial 16S ribosomal RNA". It matches the Rfam family "Bacterial small subunit ribosomal RNA", at positions 28 to 507 of the family's 1533-position model. The record is from RNAcentral.